Molecule: long non-coding RNA, 1360 nt
Organism: Rosa chinensis
Lineage: Eukaryota; Viridiplantae; Streptophyta; Magnoliopsida; Rosales; Rosaceae
Exons: 4
Source: RefSeq, a predicted model, not a curated record
ACUUCGUCUCAUUCUGCUGUCAUUUAGGUAAAUUUCUGUUCUAUUUUAACUCUUGUUUGUGGUUCUCGAUUUGUUGCUGCUAUUUUCUCAGGGAUUUCAGCUUCAGUCAUAUGUAAUGGAUCUUUCUCUCUAAUAUGAUGGGUUUUCUUCUCCUUUUAUCUGGGAUUGUAAGUUUAAUUCAUAGGUAUUAUGAAUUUUUGAUUAAUUGAGAUUUGGUUUGUAUGUAUAUGAUUAGUUCAUCGAGAAUGGAUGUCAUGAAGUAGUUUGUAUGUAUUUGUAUUCAUGAAGUAGUUUUCGAUUUUGAUUGUUACUAUUUUUCCUCCUCUUCUUGUUGCAACAAUCAAACUCAUGAAUGUGUUUUGCAUAAGAUGAGAAUUGAUAACAAUGCGUUGAUUAUCUAAAAGUGUCUUAUUCAUUGCCUAACUGCAACGGGGGGUGGAAGAUUUUGAAAAUAAUGUGUUAUUAUGUCUUGCAUUGCCAUGAUUUCUUUAUCGUUUCCAUUUUUACAGUUAGAGUUCAUUGCAACUCAUUAGUAUUUUGUUUCAUAUAUUUGGUUUGGAGUUCCCUCUCGCUGCUGCAGUUUUUAUGAAAGUUUCAUAGUCAUUUCUAGAUUUUUUCUGUCACAUAUUUCUCUUCUUUUCUUUUCUUCUUGGCAUGUUUUUAAUGAUUAGAUGAUGAUAGAAGAAUUAAACCAAGUUUAUGAGCAGACCAGGGUGCAGAAAGGAAUUGAAUUGGUGUUGUCAAGCUAAUUAGUGCUAUGAUUUUAUGCUUGCAUUCUGGAAUCCAUUUGACUGAUUGAUGUUGGUGCUGUUAGAAUUUUACCUUAACUAGUUAGUGGCUGAAACUUUUCUUGCCAUGGAACACUGGAAAGAAUAAGUACAUGUGCAUGCCCAAAGUGUAAAUUGAAAUCACUUUCGAGAUUCCAUCAAGUGAUAGAAAUGCUACAUGAGGAAUGGAAUGCAUAGGCUUUUCAACUGUGCAGUGGAAGUUGAAGCAGCCAGAAUUUCAAACUUGUUGUUUUGUCAAAUCACUAGCAUAUCACUUAUGGCUGAACUAUUCUCAUGUCCAUACCACACUUAAAAGUGAUCUAUUUUCAACUUGCUGAGAUGCAUAAACUUCGUACUUUCUUUCUUAUGGAGUUGGACUAGUACUCAUGAAUAAAGCUAAUAGCGCUGUGAUUAUGCUGCAAAUUAAGCUUGCUAACAGAGGAUGUGCACCAAAUCUGGCUUUGGCUUUGACUCUUUUGAGUCCUUUGUUUGUUAUCGACUUCAUUAUCAUAUUUCAUGCUAUGGCUUGGCAUGUUGUUUGGUCUAAUUGGUCUUGUAACUUGAUAUUUUCAGAUAGUAACUGUACUUACUAG